This 253-nucleotide ribosomal RNA is filed under the name uncultured bacterium. RNAcentral's name for it is "partial 16S ribosomal RNA". It matches the Rfam family "Bacterial small subunit ribosomal RNA", at positions 524 to 776 of the family's 1533-position model. The record is from RNAcentral.
UACGUAGGGUGCAAGCGUUGUCCGGAAUUAUUGGGCGUAAAGAGCUUGUAGGCGGUUUGUCGCGUCUGCUGUGAAAUUUCGGGGCUCAACCCCGAACUUGCAGUGGGUACGGGCAGACUAGAGUGUGGUAGGGGAGACUGGAAUUCCUGGUGUAGCGGUGAAAUGCGCAGAUAUCAGGAGGAACACCGAUGGCGAAGGCAGGUCUCUGGGCCAUAACUGACACUGAGGCGCGAAAGCGUGGGGAGCGAACAGG